This 429-nucleotide ribosomal RNA is filed under the name Acidobacteriota bacterium. Its description in RNAcentral is "Acidobacteria bacterium partial 16S ribosomal RNA". It matches the Rfam family "Bacterial small subunit ribosomal RNA", at positions 355 to 776 of the family's 1533-position model. The record is from RNAcentral. Lineage: Bacteria; Pseudomonadati; Acidobacteriota.
UGGGGAAUUUUGGACAAUGGGGGAAACCCUGAUCCAGCCAUCCCGCGUGUGCGAUGAAGGCCUUCGGGUUGUAAAGCACUUUUGGCAGGAAAGAAACGUCAUGGGUUAAUACCCCGUGAAACUGACGGUACCUGCAGAAUAAGAACCGGCUAACUACGUGCCAGCAGCCGCGGUAAUACGUAGGGUGCAAGCGUUAAUCGGAAUUACUGGGCGUAAAGCGUGCGCAGGCGGUUCGGAAAGAAAGAUGUGAAAUCCCAGAGCUCAACUUUGGAACUGCAUUUUUAACUACCGGGCUAGAGUGUGUCAGAGGGAGGUGGAAUUCCGCGUGUAGCAGUGAAAUGCGUAGAUAUGCGGAGGAACACCGAUGGCGAAGGCAGCCUCCUGGGAUAACACUGACGCUCAUGCACGAAAGCGUGGGGAGCAAACAGG